Molecule: long non-coding RNA, 578 nt
Organism: Ailuropoda melanoleuca (giant panda)
Lineage: Eukaryota; Metazoa; Chordata; Mammalia; Carnivora; Ursidae
Exons: 3
Source: RefSeq, a predicted model, not a curated record
CCUCUUCCCGGGUGCCUUACUCACUCUGGACUCGGGGAGCAGCUAGGACCGCCCAGCAGAGCUCCGCCCGAGCCCACGUGCGUGCUCCGAGGCACGCACCCCGCGGCCGCCGGGCCACCUGGCACCGCCCCUCCAGUCCCCCGAGAGCCCUUCCUCCGACUGGCUGGGGCUGGAACUGCUUGGAAUCAGACCCAGAAAAAGUCCGAGUUCCUUCCAGAGCUAAAGGCAGCCUCCAGGGAACAAAGCUGCCAGUGUGAGCGCAGCUUGGGCUUGAGGGGGAGUGAAGGGGGCCCUCGGUCCCUCCAAGCCGAGCACUAGGGCUCCGCAGCCUCCUCCCAGCCUUCUUUAAAGCCGCAGGGCCGAUCCAGGAGGGAACUGUUAUACCCAUUAUACGGAUGUGAGUCUUGAGGCUCAGAGAGACGGGAUUUGCUCAGUGACGUUUGGGAAAGGGAUGUUCAGCCUAACCUCAGGACUUUGGACUUGGGGGUCCCUCCCUUCGCGCUGUCUCAAGUAAGACGCGGGUUUAGAAGAGCAAAUAAGGUGAAAUGAUACUACCACUCAAGAAGGACUUGCUGUGU